This is a long non-coding RNA of Amphimedon queenslandica, 267 nucleotides long. RefSeq lists it as uncharacterized. The transcript is spliced from 2 exons. The record is from RefSeq and is a predicted model, not a curated record. Lineage: Eukaryota; Metazoa; Porifera; Demospongiae; Haplosclerida; Niphatidae.
AGUUAAUGACGGAAUGGCUCAGAUAAUGCUUCAGUUUAAAAAUGAAAUUGAGACUAUGAACAAAGAAAUGAUGAGUGCAAUGAAAGAACAACUUAAAAUUGGUCUCCUUGGUCUACAGAUCAUUUAGACAAUGGACUCGACUAAUGGACUGAAGAAUGCUCAAUCAGACAAGAAGAUAAUGGCUGCCACUGACCAAGCAUUCCUUGACAUGCUCAAUUCUCUCAUUGAAAUGAUGACACAAGAACUGAACAAGAUUGACAGAAUAAA